Non-coding RNA from Corylus avellana, 469 nucleotides. The record is from RefSeq and is a predicted model, not a curated record. NCBI's taxonomy places the organism in Eukaryota, Viridiplantae, Streptophyta, Magnoliopsida, Fagales, Betulaceae.
CCCACAUAAUCUGUUUUUCUAUCAUCUUCUUCCUCUUCCUCUUUUUCUCAGCUUCAACGACAUCUCUUCCACACCAACCCCUAUCUAAGCCAGAAAUCCCCGCGCUGUCCCGCUGCUCCUCUAGACUACUCAUAGCCAUUCGACCCGCGAGGCUCUUCGUCCACCCCGUUUUGCUCUUCACCGGCUUUGAUGGCCCCUUGGAUACCCAAACUUUCCUUGCCGCCGGCCAUUGCUCUUUCUCCUGUUCUUGGUCUCAAGGUUGGGGCACUAGUGCUAGAGGAAGCUGUGAAGUAUGGAAGGAUUGAAUUGGUGAAGUUUUUUUGGCUGAUGAUGGGCUGCGCUUUGGUUUGGGUUUUGGGGAGUGCGUAGACUGGGAUCAUUUAGAAAUUUCUUUGUUUGAAAACUUAACGCUUGCUAUAUCGGGUCAAUAUGGCUGAGUGUCAUUGCUUAAAAAUUGCUUUGUUCUUUU